Molecule: ribosomal RNA, 232 nt
Filed under: Brevibacterium sp.
Lineage: Bacteria; Bacillati; Actinomycetota; Actinomycetes; Micrococcales; Brevibacteriaceae
Description: partial 16S ribosomal RNA
Rfam family: Bacterial small subunit ribosomal RNA
Source: RNAcentral
UAUUGGGCGUAAGAGCUCGUAGGUGGUCUGUUACGUCUGCUGUGGAACCCUGGGCUCAACCUUGCACGUGCAGUGGGUACUGGCGGACUAGAGUGCAGUAGAGGAGUCUGGAGUUCCAUGGUGUAGCGUGUGAAAUGCGCAGAUGUAUGGAGGAACACCGGUGGCGAAAGGCGGCUCUCUGGGCUGUAACUGACGCUGAGGAGCGAAAGCGUGGGGAGCGAACAGGAUUAGA